This 446-nucleotide ribosomal RNA is filed under the name uncultured bacterium. RNAcentral describes it as "partial 16S ribosomal RNA". It matches the Rfam family "Bacterial small subunit ribosomal RNA", at positions 329 to 792 of the family's 1533-position model. The record is from RNAcentral.
GACCAGACUCCUACGGGAGGCAGCAGUGGGGAAUAUUGCACAAUGGGGGAAACCCUGAUGCAGCGACGCCGCGUGAGUGAAGAAGUAUUUCGGUAUGUAAAGCUCUAUCAGCAGGAAAGAAAAUGACGGUACCUGACUAAGAAGCCCCGGCUAACUACGUGCCAGCAGCCGCGGUAAUACGUAGGGGGCAAGCGUUAUCCGGAUUUACUGGGUGUAAAGGGGGCGCAGACGGCGAUGCAAGCCAGGAGUGAAAGCCCGGGGCCCAACCCCGGGACUGCUCUUGGAACUGCGUGGCUGGAGUGCAGGAGGGGCAGGCGGAAUUCCUGGUGUAGCGGUGAAAUGCGUAGAUAUCAGGAGGAACACCGGUGGCGAAGGCGGCCUGCUGGACUGCGACUGACGUUGAGGCCCGAAAGCGUGGGGAGCAAACAGGAUUAGAUACCCCUGUA